UACGUAGGGUGCAAGCGUUAAUCGGAAUUACUGGGCGUAAAGCGUGCGCAGGCGGUUAUAUAAGUCAGAUGUGAAAUCCCCGGGCUCAACCUGGGAACUGCAUUUGAGACUGUAUAGCUAGAGUACGGUAGAGGGGGACGGAAUUACGCGUGUAGCAGUGAAAUGCGUAUAUAUGCGGAGGAACACCGAUGGCGAAGGCAAUCCCCUGUACCUGUACUGACGCUCAUGCACGAAAGCGUGGGGAGCAAACAGGAUGAGAUACCCUGGUAGUCCACGCCCUAAACGAUGUCAACUGGUGGUGGGGUCUUAACUGACUCAGUAACGAAGCGAACGCGUGAAGUUGACCGCCUGGGGAGUACGGCCGCAAGGUUG
RNAcentral lists this ribosomal RNA (372 nucleotides) under uncultured prokaryote. RNAcentral describes it as "bacterial SSU rRNA". It matches the Rfam family "Bacterial small subunit ribosomal RNA", at positions 524 to 896 of the family's 1533-position model. The record is from RNAcentral.